UUUAAAGUAUAUUAGUUUACUAGUAAUAUUUAUCUCAAGAAAUCUCCCUAUUAACCAAAAAAAACACGUUAGGAAACAAGAAAUCUUAAGCAAACUAAUGCAGUCUUUCAUUGUGAAGAAAGAAACAGGAAUGUGCUUUUACGGAGAACUGUCAAUUUUGAGGAAAAAGAACUGAUGAUUCAUAAAAAAAGAAGAUGCAAAAAGAGAACACAGAAUAUCACAAGGCAUUAGGGGGAAGAGAAUUUUUAAACAUUGACCGUGAUAAAAUUCAUCAUCACUCCAUUAAUGGAGAAGAAAAGGAAGAAGAAAAACAAAGACACUAUUAAUGGAGAUUAAUGAAGAAGAAGAAGAAGGAAGAAACAAAAGAAAAAGAUAGAAAAGGAAGAAAAAAAAAUUAAAAUACAAAAUAAAAAGAAUGAAGCCUUUUUAUUACACAUGACAUCUUUUAAUUGGUUAUUUCAGUCAACUCUUAAGUAUUCACGCGCCUCUUAUGUGUGUCUAUAUGCAUAGGCAAAAUUUUAAUCAACAUGAUGUAUUUACAAUAGUUUAGAUAAGUUUCAUGAGGUAAUAGCUCACCCGUAUAUUUUAGGUGUCUUUUUGAAAAAGUCGGACAAGUUGAGGGGUG
RNAcentral lists this long non-coding RNA (625 nucleotides) under Capsicum annuum. RNAcentral's name for it is "long non-coding RNA (CANN_LNC011696)". Lineage: Eukaryota; Viridiplantae; Streptophyta; Magnoliopsida; Solanales; Solanaceae. The record is from RNAcentral.